CGGGACCUGCCUCAGACCUCUCUGAGGUCCAGGGAGUCUGAGGGGUGCCUUUUGCCCCCAGGUUACUGGGAGGUGAACGGCUUUGGCCUCUUUGGGAUCUACAAGUCCGACUUUGAGCGCGUCGGAGGCAUGAACACCGAGGAGUUCCGAGACCAGUGGGGCGGGGAGGACUGGGAGCUGCUGGACAGGGUGCUGCAGGCGGGGCUGGAGGUGGAGCGGCUGCGCCUGCGGAACUUCUACCACCACUACCACUCCCGGCGGGGCAUGUGGGGUGCACGGCGGGGCGCACACAUCCGGAAGGGCUCCCGCGCAGAGGGACCUUGAAAACGGGCCACCUAGCCCAGCCUGUCCCCUGAGUCCACCAUCCUGCGCGCCCCUCCCCAGAGAGGCAGGCUUCACAGCGGGUCAGGCCCAGGCUCGGUCCCCACACUCUGUGUGAUGAUUUCUGUGAAAUUUUGCUGUAGCGAUGACAUUGUUUUCAGGAUUUCCAGGAGUUCUGUCUGUUGCGUUUUUUAUUCAGAAUGAAAUGAAAUAUAUUUUUUAGUUCUGA
Long non-coding RNA from Hipposideros armiger (great roundleaf bat), 550 nucleotides. RefSeq lists it as uncharacterized. NCBI's taxonomy places the organism in Eukaryota, Metazoa, Chordata, Mammalia, Chiroptera, Hipposideridae. The transcript is spliced from 2 exons. The record is from RefSeq and is a predicted model, not a curated record.